GAUGAACGCUGGCGGCGUGCCUAAUACAUGCAAGUCGAGCGAACGGACGAGAAGCUUGCUUUUCUGAUGUUAGCGGCGGACGGGUGAGUAACACGUGGAUAACCUACCUAUAAGACUGGGAUAACUUCGGGAAACCGGAGCUAAUACCGGAUAAUAUUUCGAACCGCAUGGUUCAAAAGUGAAAGACGGUCUUGCUGUCACUUAUAGAUGGAUCCGCGCUGCAUUAGCUAGUUGGUGAGGUAACGGCUUACCAAGGCAACGAUGCAUAGCCGACCUGAGAGGGUGAUCGGCCACACUGGAACUGAGACACGGUCCAGACCCCUACGGGAGGCAGCAGUAGGGAAUCUUCCGCAAUGGGCGAAAGCCUGACGGAGCAACGCCGCGUGAGUGAUGAAGGUCUUCGGAUCGUAAAACUCUGGUAUUAGGGAAGAACAUAUGUGUAAGUAACUGUGCACAUCUUGACCGGACCUAAUCAGAAAGCCACGGCUAACUACGUGGCAGCAGCCGCGGUAAUACGUAAGUGGCAAGCGUUAUCCGGAAUUAUUGGGGCGUAAAGCGCGCGUAGGCGGUUUUUUAGUCUGAUGUGAAAGCCCACGGCUCAACCGUGGAGGGUCAUUGGAAACUGGAAAACUUGAGUGCAGAAGAGGAAAGUGGAAUUCCAUGUGUAGCGGUGAAAUGCGCAGAGAUAUGGAGGAACACCAGUGGCGAAGGCGACUUUCUGGUCUGUAACUGACGCUGAUGUGCGAAAGCGUGGGGAUCAAACAGGAUUAGAUACCCUGGUAGUCCACGCCGUAGACGAUGAGUGCUAAGUGUUAGGGGGUUUCCGCCCCUUAGUGCUGCAGCUAACGCAUUAAGCACUCCGCCUGGGGAGUACGACCGCAAGGUUGAAACUCAAAGGAAUUGACGGGGACCCGCACAAGCGGUGGAGCAUGUGGUUUAAUUCGAAGCAACGCGAAGAACCUUACCAAAUCUUGACAUCCUUUGACAACUCUAGAGAUAGAGCCUUCCCCUUCGGGGGACAAAGUGACAGGUGGUGCAUGGUUGUCGUCAGUUCGUGUCGUGAGAUGUUGGGUUAAGUCCCGCAACGAGCGCAACCCUUAAGCUUAGUUGCCAUCAUUAAGUUGGGCACUCUAAGUUGACUGCCGGUGACAAACCGGAGGAAGGUGGGGAUGACGUCAAAUCAUCAUGCCCCCUAUGAUUUGGGCUACACACGUGCUACAAUGGACAAUACAAAGGGCAGCGAAACCGCGAGGUCAAGCAAAUCCCAUAAAGUUGUUCUCAGUUCGGAUUGUAGUCUGCAACUCGACUACAUGAAGCUGGAAUCGCUAGUAAUCGUAGAUCAGCAUGCUACGGUGAAUACGUUCCCGGGUCU
RNAcentral lists this ribosomal RNA (1372 nucleotides) under uncultured bacterium. RNAcentral's name for it is "bacterial SSU rRNA". It matches the Rfam family "Bacterial small subunit ribosomal RNA", at positions 28 to 1381 of the family's 1533-position model. The record is from RNAcentral.